CACGGACUGUAACAAAGCACUGAUUUUUACUAACUCCUUAUCUUCUGCUUGUACAAAUAGGUGCUAUGAGUAAGGAGAUGCUUUUAACCUUUCAGAGCUCUAUCCUGCAGGUGAAUCCUUUAAGACUCAAGUGCCUGAUGUUUUAGGUACCAGCUGUCAGACAGCAACCCAGAGAUGCUUGUCACUUUUUAUGGAUGCACAGCUGCAUGAUGACACUGUGCUACACAACCAUACCAGGUUUUGCAGAUGAUCAUCUGGAUAUGGAAUCGCUUUAUGAAGGCACGAACCUGUACUAUGUGUAAAGCUGCAAGUUAUUUUGCUCUUUGGAUAGUAAUUUACUAGUACUGCUAUGUGGGAAAACAGGAAGAGGAUGACAAAGACAGGGCUUGCAAGGAGCUCAUCUUUGAUGCAUUACACUCAGUCUGCAAGGAAAACAUUUUUCUUCUCUUCCCCUUCAAAACUUGUUUCAGCCUGAAGCAGCUCUUUGCUUGAAAGUCAGAAACUUUCCAUUGGGAGCUACUGGAUAACCCUCAUGCUGUGCAGUGGUCAAGGUGAAACUUCAUGAAAGGUGCUGGUGCACACAGUGGGACUUCUGACCAACAAGAGUCAGCAGCUGCAAGCACAGGCAAAGGUCUCUAGCUGGCAGCCAUUACAUAAAUAAAUAUGGCACUGAAGUUUCUCCUCCA
Molecule: long non-coding RNA, 686 nt
Filed under: Coturnix japonica (Japanese quail)
Lineage: Eukaryota; Metazoa; Chordata; Aves; Galliformes; Phasianidae
Description: lncRNA (ENSCJPG00005018877.1)
Source: RNAcentral